RNAcentral lists this ribosomal RNA (246 nucleotides) under uncultured bacterium. RNAcentral describes it as "partial 16S ribosomal RNA". It matches the Rfam family "Bacterial small subunit ribosomal RNA", at positions 116 to 356 of the family's 1533-position model. The record is from RNAcentral.
CGUGGGUAACCUGCCCAAGAGACUGGGAUAACACCUGGAAACAGAUGCUAAUACCGGAUAACAACACUAGACGCAUGUCUAGAGUUUAAAAGAUGGUUCUGCUAUCACUCUUGGAUGGACCUGCGGUGCAUUAGCUAGUUGGUAAGGUAACGGCUUACCAAGGCAAUGAUGCAUAGCCGAGUUGAGAGACUGAUCGGCCACAUUGGGACUGAGACACGGCCCAAACUCCUACGGGAGGCAGCAGCG